Molecule: transfer RNA, 75 nt
Filed under: Deltaproteobacteria bacterium
Lineage: Bacteria; Pseudomonadati; Myxococcota; Myxococcia
Description: tRNA-Lys
Rfam family: tRNA
About the family: Transfer RNA (tRNA) molecules are approximately 80 nucleotides in length. Their secondary structure includes four short double-helical elements and three loops (D, anti-codon, and T loops). Further hydrogen bonds mediate the characteristic L-shaped molecular structure. tRNAs have two regions of fundamental functional importance: the anti-codon, which is responsible for specific mRNA codon recognition, and the 3' end, to which the tRNAs corresponding amino acid is attached (by aminoacyl-tRNA synthetases). tRNAs cope with the degeneracy of the genetic code in two manners: having more than one tRNA (with a specific anti-codon) for a particular amino acid; and 'wobble' base-pairing, i.e. permitting non-standard base-pairing at the 3rd anti-codon position.
Source: RNAcentral
GCGCCAUUAGCUCAAUGGUAGAGCAAAUGACUCUUAAUCAUUAGGCUGAAGGUUCGAGCCCUUCAUGGCGCACCA